UACGAGGGGGGCGAGCGUUGUCCGGAUUUAUUGGGCGUAAAGCGUGCGUAGGCGGCUGCGCAAGUCGGGUGUGAAACCCCGGGGCUCAACCCCGGAACUGCAUCCGAUACUGCGUGGCUAGAGGUAGGUAGGGGAGAUCGGAAUUCCUGGUGUAGCGGUGAAAUGCGCAGAUAUCAGGAGGAACACCGGUGGCGAAGGCGGAUCUCUGGGCCUUACCUGACGCUCAGGCACGAAAGCUAGGGGAGCGAACAGG
Molecule: ribosomal RNA, 253 nt
Filed under: uncultured bacterium
Lineage: Bacteria
Description: partial 16S ribosomal RNA
Rfam family: Bacterial small subunit ribosomal RNA
Source: RNAcentral